ACCAAAUAGAUACCCGGGUAGUCCACGCCCUAAACGAUGCGAACUGGAUGUUGGGUACAUUACGGUACUCAGUGUCGAAAGCUAAACGCGUUAAGUUCGCCGCCUGGGGAGUACGGUCGCAAGACUGAAACUCAAAGGAAUUGACGGGGGCCCGGCACAAGCGGUGGAGUAUGUGGUUUAAUUACGAUGCAACGCGAAGAACCUUACCUGGCCUUGACAUCUGUCGAAUCCUGCAGAGAUGCGGGAGGUGCCGCAAGGAACGACAAGACAGGUGCUGCAUGGCUGUCGUCAGCUCGUGUCGUGAGAUGUUGGGUUAAGUCCCGCAACGAGCGCAACCCUUGUCCCUACGUUGCCAGCACGUAAUGGUGGGAACUCUAGGGAGACUGCCGGUGACAAACCGGAGGAAGGUGGGGAUGACGUCAAGUCCUCAUGGCCCGUUA
RNAcentral lists this ribosomal RNA (440 nucleotides) under uncultured bacterium. RNAcentral describes it as "bacterial SSU rRNA". It matches the Rfam family "Bacterial small subunit ribosomal RNA", at positions 772 to 1205 of the family's 1533-position model. The record is from RNAcentral.